Molecule: ribosomal RNA, 508 nt
Filed under: uncultured bacterium
Lineage: Bacteria
Description: partial 16S ribosomal RNA
Rfam family: Bacterial small subunit ribosomal RNA
Source: RNAcentral
GACGAACGCUGGCGGCGUGCUUAACACAUGCAAGUCGAACGCUUCUUCCCUCCCGUUUUCUUGCACUCAAUUGGAAAGCGGAGGGGCGGACGGGUGAGUAACACGCCUGUAACCUACCCAUCAGUGAGGGAAAACACUUGGAAACAGGAGCUAAUACCCUAUAACAGUUUAUGCCUCAUGGCAUAAGAGUGAUUGGCGCUUUCGGGUGUCGUUGAUGGAUGGAUCCGCGGUGCGUUAGCUAGUUGGUGAGGUAACGGCUCACCAAGGCGACGAUGCAUAGGCGACGUGAGUGGGUGAUCGGCGGCACUGGAGGUGAGACGCGGCCCAGACGACUGCGGGAGGCAGCAGAAGGGAAUCUUAGGCAAUAGUCGAAAGUAUGACAGAGCAACGCCGCGUGGGUGGAGACGGUGUCCGGAGCGUGAAGCUCUGUUGUUGGUGAUGAACAAGGACGUCAGUGGCUGAACGUCGCCUGACGGUAUCUGGCCAAGAAGCCACGGCUAACUACGUG